UUGUAGUCAUAAGCUUGUCUCAAAGAUUAAGCCAUGCAUGUCUAAGUAUAAGCAAUCUAUACUGUGAAACUGCGAAUGGCUCAUUAAAUCAGUUAUAGUUUAUUUGAUAGUACCUUUACCUGGAUAACCGUGGUAAUUCUAGAGCUAAUACAUGCCAAAAACCCCGACUCCGGAAGGGGUGUAUUUAUUAGAUAAAAAACCAAUGCCCUCCGGGGCUCCUUGGUGAUUCAUGAUAACUUAACGAAUCGCAUGGCCUUGCGCCGGCGAUGGUUCAUUCAAAUUUCUGCCCUAUCAACUUCGAUGUAG
This 306-nucleotide ribosomal RNA is filed under the name uncultured fungus. RNAcentral's name for it is "SSU rRNA". It matches the Rfam family "Eukaryotic small subunit ribosomal RNA", at positions 21 to 330 of the family's 1831-position model. Lineage: Eukaryota; Fungi. The record is from RNAcentral.